GGGGCGUUAGCUCAGUUGGUCAGAGCAGAGGACUCAUAAUCCUUUUGUCGUGGGUUCAAGUCCCACACGCCCCACCA
Molecule: transfer RNA, 77 nt
Filed under: Auritidibacter ignavus
Lineage: Bacteria; Bacillati; Actinomycetota; Actinomycetes; Micrococcales; Micrococcaceae
Also listed under: 3 other names
Description: tRNA-Ile
Rfam family: tRNA
About the family: Transfer RNA (tRNA) molecules are approximately 80 nucleotides in length. Their secondary structure includes four short double-helical elements and three loops (D, anti-codon, and T loops).
Source: RNAcentral